RNAcentral lists this ribosomal RNA (884 nucleotides) under Acremonium sp. NZ-2019a. Its description in RNAcentral is "partial large subunit ribosomal RNA". It matches the Rfam family "Eukaryotic large subunit ribosomal RNA", at positions 36 to 957 of the family's 3401-position model. Lineage: Eukaryota; Fungi; Ascomycota; Sordariomycetes; Hypocreales; Bionectriaceae. The record is from RNAcentral.
AAGCAUAUCAAUAAGCGGAGGAAAAGAAACCAACAGGGAUUGCCUCAGUAACGGCGAGUGAAGCGGCAACAGCUCAAAUUUGAAAUCUGGCCCUAGGCCCGAGUUGUAAUUUGCAGAGGAUGUUUCUGGCGAGGUGCCUUCCGAGUUCCCUGGAACGGGACGCCAUAGAGGGUGAGAGCCCCGUACGGUUGGUCGCUAAGCCUCUGUGAAACUCCUUCGACGAGUCGAGUAGUUUGGGAAUGCUGCUCUAAAUGGGAGGUAUACGUCUUCUAAAGCUAAAUACCGGCCAGAGACCGAUAGCGCACAAGUAGAGUGAUCGAAAGAUGAAAAGCACUUUGAAAAGAGGGUUAAAUAGUACGUGAAAUUGUUGAAAGGGAAGCGCUUAUGACCAGACUUGGACCGGUUGAUCAUCCAUCGUUCUCGGUGGUGCACUCUGCCGGUUCAGGCCAGCAUCAGUUCGUCCCGGGGGAUAAAGGCUUUGGGAAUGUGGCUCUUCGGAGUGUUAUAGCCCACUGCGUAAUACCCUGGGAUGGACUGAGGUUCGCGCUCCGCAAGGAUGCUGGCGUAAUGGUCAUCAGUGACCCGUCUUGAAACACGGACCAAGGAGUCGUCUUCGUAUGCGAGUGUUCGGGUGUCAAACCCCUACGCGUAAUGAAAGUGAACGUAGGAGAGAGCUUCGGCGCAUCUCCGACCGAUCCUGAUGUUCUCGGAUGGAUUUGAGUAAGAGCAUACGGGGCCGGACCCGAAAGAAGGUGAACUAUGCUUGUAUAGGGUGAAGCCAGAGGAAACUCUGGUGGAGGCUCGCAGCGGUUCUGACGUGCAAAUCGAUCGUCAAAUAUGAGCAUGGGGGCGAAAGACUAAUCGAACCUUCUAGUAGCUGGUUU